Passer domesticus (house sparrow) is the source of this 966-nucleotide long non-coding RNA. RefSeq lists it as uncharacterized. The record is from RefSeq and is a predicted model, not a curated record. NCBI's taxonomy places the organism in Eukaryota, Metazoa, Chordata, Aves, Passeriformes, Passeridae. The transcript is spliced from 3 exons.
CGCUGUGUUGACACGCUCUGCACCCUGCUCCUGCCCUCGCCUUUCACUCUUCUUAUCCCCCUGAUACCCCGAUCAUUCCUGACAGCUCCUGAGUGCCUGGAUUUCAUCAUCCAGCCCUGCAGGAUGCUCCCCUUUGUCCUGAGGAAGGCUGUCCCAGACGGAGAGGAGGAGAUGGAGGUGGAUACAAAGAUUGAUAUGGAUGAGGAGAUGGAAAUUGACGGAGAAGACUCUGGAGAGGAAGAGAUGGACGUGGAUGUGGAUGAGGAAGAGGAGAUGGAUGUUGGUAUGGAAGGACAUGGACAUUGAUUGAAAAGGAACAGUGGACAUCACAGACAAGGACACCUACAAUCAAUAAAAGGCUUUUUUCCAUUUUCUCAAGCCACGCGUUGGGCGCCACUAACUGUAUUUGUCCUGGUUUAGGGCAAGUUUGGGAGAUAACCCCCAAAGGGGCUUCUCUACAAAAGCAGAUUCAAUUGCCCCUCCCCCCUCCAACCAGUUCGGGAGAAAAUAUCUCCUUGCAGAAAAAUGGAAAGAAACCUGUUUAUUAAACAAUAGAAACCAAACAAUAUUAAGCAAUAAAACUUCUCACUGAUCCAAGGAAAGCAAACUCAGAACAGUCCCCUCCCCGGGUUGCAGCUUGGCUCACUCAGUCUCUGAUCAGUCUCUCUGGUGCUGGAAAUGCUGCUGCCCAGGCCCGGCCAGGGGCCACAGGUGGAGCUGCCGGUGCUCUUCUGGGUGUUCAGUGCAGAGCAGGCUUGAACAGGUCCAAGAAAAAAGGAAAAAAUCACAAUCCGGAGAACUUCUUUGCCUCAGCUGGCUAAAACUAACUAAAAGCAAGAAAAAGGGAAAAAAGGAGCUCUGUCCGGCUGUCUGUCCAUCCGCAGACAACACAGUCCAGGAGCAGGAAUGUGGAGGAGUGAGAGCAGUCUGAAAACAAACUGCGCGCUUCUUCCCUGCCCUCUCCAC